Molecule: transfer RNA, 57 nt
Filed under: Eropterus sp. UPOL A00554
Lineage: Eukaryota; Metazoa; Arthropoda; Insecta; Coleoptera; Lycidae
Description: partial tRNA-Ser
Source: RNAcentral
AUAAACAAUUUUUUUGCUUUUUAAAAAGUUAGAAGCUUUUCGAUUAAAUAUUUCUUU